UGACCUCAAAUCAGGUAGGACUACCCGCUGAACUUAAGCAUAUCAAUAAGCGGAGGAAAAGAAACUAACAAGGAUUCCCCUAGUAACUGCGAGUGAAGCGGGAAAAGCUCAAAUUUAAAAUCUGUCAGUCUUUGGCUGUCCGAGUUGUAAUCUAGAGAAGUGUUAUCUGCGCUGGACCGUGUACAAGUCUCCUGGAAUGGAGCGUCAUAGAGGGUGAGAAUCCCGUCUCUGACACGGACUGCCAGGGCUUUGUGAUGCGCUCUCAAAGAGUCGAGUUGUUUGGGAAUGCAGCUCAAAAUGGGUGGUAAAUUCCAUCUAAAGCUAAAUAUUGGCGAGAGACCGAUAGCGAACAAGUACCGUGAGGGAAAGAUGAAAAGAACUUUGGAAAGAGAGUUAAACAGUACGUGAAAUUGCUGAAAGGGAAACGCUUGAAGUCAGUCGCGUUGUCCAGGGAUCAACCUUGCUUUUGCUUGGUGUACUUUCUGGUUAACGGGUCAGCAUCAAUUUUGAUCAUUGGAAAAAAGUUAGAGGAAUGUGGCAUCUUCGGAUGUGUUAUAGCCUUUGAUUGCAUACAAUGGUUAGGAUUGAGGAACUCAGCACGCCGCAAGGCCGGGUUUUUAACCACGUACGUGCUUAGGAUGC
Molecule: ribosomal RNA, 642 nt
Filed under: Cortinarius sp. F16435
Lineage: Eukaryota; Fungi; Basidiomycota; Agaricomycetes; Agaricales; Cortinariaceae
Also listed under: 1 other name
Description: eukaryotic LSU rRNA
Rfam family: Eukaryotic large subunit ribosomal RNA
Source: RNAcentral